Long non-coding RNA from Mastomys coucha (southern multimammate mouse), 831 nucleotides. RefSeq lists it as uncharacterized. NCBI's taxonomy places the organism in Eukaryota, Metazoa, Chordata, Mammalia, Rodentia, Muridae. The transcript is spliced from 4 exons. The record is from RefSeq and is a predicted model, not a curated record.
CCCAAACACUAAGACACUGGGUGCCACUAAAAUGAGCAGGUAAUUGGACUUAUUCAUCACUGAAAAUAAGGCACCCAGCAAUCUUUUCAUGCACAGCCAUCCAUGGUUUUCCUCCCAUCUGCAUGGUCUCCAGCUUACAUGGUGGCUAUCAACUCCGUUGACUUGAACAGAUAAAGCUCAGCGCAGGAACUUUUGGCUCCAUGUCACAUUGCCCUCACAGCCUGACAGGACCUUGGACUCACUUGGAGACAAGUCUUGUCUCUGGACAUCUCUGUGGAAGAUUUUACAGAUUAGGUUAACUGAAGCAGGAAGACGCACCCUGAGUUCAGACGUCACCAUUUCUUUAACUCGGGCUCCAGGAUGAAGAGAAGGAGCAAGCAAGCCGAGCACAGCCAUUCAUGCUAUCUUCUUCAGGACCUUAGACCCAAUAGGACCAGCUGGGCAGGAGAAGCAGAGGGAAGGGAGAUGCUGAGGUCAGGAGAAGGAAAACAUUCUGGAUUGAUGGAUCAACAGAUGCAACUCUUCCUACAUCUCAGGAAAGAAGAUGUGUCCGCAGAAGUAGAACUUCAACAGAUUAUAUCCUAUUCCUGACACAAUUGUAGCUUGCUUUCUUUCGACUGGAAAAUCUGUGGACAAAUGUUCCACUGUUCCCAAACCUACACCUUAAGUGUGUGGUGAUCCCAGUCCUGUUCUGGGAAUAAAACCAGUUCUUAACAAAAAUGCCCUGGAAUUCAAGAGCAAGUGUAGAAUUUUACAUCACACACUUUUCUGCUCAUGCCACUGAAAGGUCAUGUGACAUUGGAAAUAAAAAUAAAUCUGAAUUUAACUUGA